Molecule: ribosomal RNA, 253 nt
Filed under: uncultured bacterium
Lineage: Bacteria
Description: partial 16S ribosomal RNA
Rfam family: Bacterial small subunit ribosomal RNA
Source: RNAcentral
UACAGAGGGUGCAAGCGUUAUCCGGAAUUACUGGGUUUAAAGGGUGCGUAGGCGGGAUUAUAAGUCAGAGGUGAAAGGUAGUCGCUUAACGAUUAAAUUGCCUUUGAUACUGUAGUUCUUGAAUCAAGAUGAGGUUGGCGGAAUGAGACAUGUAGCGGUGAAAUGCAUAGAUAUGUCUUAGAACACCGAUUGCGAAGGCAGCUGACUGGACUUUGAUUGACGCUGAGGCACGAAAGCGUGGGGAUCAAACAGG